RNAcentral lists this ribosomal RNA (271 nucleotides) under uncultured bacterium. Its description in RNAcentral is "partial 16S ribosomal RNA". It matches the Rfam family "Bacterial small subunit ribosomal RNA", at positions 524 to 794 of the family's 1533-position model. The record is from RNAcentral.
UACGUAGGUGGCAAGCGUUGUCCGGAUUUAUUGGGCGUAAAGCGAGUGCAGGCGGCUCGAUAAGUCUGAUGUGAAAGCCUUCGGCUCAACCGGAGAAUUGCAUCAGAAACUGCCGAGCUUGAGUACAGAAGAGGAGAGUGGAACUCCAUGUGUAGCGGUGAAAUGCGUAGAUAUAUGGAGGAACACCGGUGGCGAAGGCGGCUCUCUGGUCUGUUACUGACGCUGAGGCUCGAAAGCAUGGGUAGCGAACAGGAUUAGAAACCCACGUAGU